This 406-nucleotide ribosomal RNA is filed under the name uncultured bacterium. RNAcentral's name for it is "partial 16S ribosomal RNA". It matches the Rfam family "Bacterial small subunit ribosomal RNA", at positions 30 to 526 of the family's 1533-position model. The record is from RNAcentral.
AUUGAACGCUGGCGGCAGGCCUAACACAUGCAAGUCGAACGAGUGGCGGACGGGUGAGUAAUGUCUGGGAAACUGCCUGAGGGAGGGGGAUAACUACUGGGAACUGUAGCUGCUACCGCAUACCAUCAGAUGUGCCCAGAUGGGCGUAGCUAGUUGGUGGGGUAACGGCGCACCAAGGCGAGGAUCCCUAGCUGGUCUGAGAGGAUGACCAGCCACACUGGAACUGAGACACGGUCCAGACUCCUACGGGAGGCAGCAGUGGGGAAUAUUGCACAAUGGGCGCAAGCCUGAUGCAGCCAUGCCGCGUGUAUGAAGAAGGCCUUCGGGUUGUAAAGUACUUUCAGCGGGGAGGCGUUACCCGCAGAAGAAGCACCGGCUAACUCCGUGCCAGCAGCCGCGGUAAUAC